GGAAUCGCUAGUAAUCGUGGAUCAGAAUGCCACGGUGAAUACGUUCCCGGGCCUUGUACACACCGCCCGUCACACCAUGGGAGUGGGCUGCAAAAGAAGUGGGUAGUUUAACCUUCGGGAGGACGCUCACCACUUUGUGGUUCAUGACUGGGGUGAAGUCGUAACAAGGUAGCGCUAGGGGAACCUGGCGCUGGAUCACCUCCUUAUACGAUGAU
RNAcentral lists this ribosomal RNA (215 nucleotides) under Vibrio vulnificus. Its description in RNAcentral is "partial 16S ribosomal RNA". It matches the Rfam family "Bacterial small subunit ribosomal RNA", at positions 1328 to 1533 of the family's 1533-position model. Lineage: Bacteria; Pseudomonadati; Pseudomonadota; Gammaproteobacteria; Vibrionales; Vibrionaceae. The record is from RNAcentral.